RNAcentral lists this ribosomal RNA (449 nucleotides) under uncultured bacterium. Its description in RNAcentral is "partial 16S ribosomal RNA". It matches the Rfam family "Bacterial small subunit ribosomal RNA", at positions 328 to 793 of the family's 1533-position model. The record is from RNAcentral.
GUGCCAGACUCCUACGGGAGGCAGCAGUGGGGGAUAUUGCACAAUGGGGGGAACCCUGAUGCAGCGACGCCGCGUGGGUGAAGGAGCGUUUCGGCGCGUAAAGCCCUAUCGGCAGGGAAGAAGGAGGACGGUACCUGACUAAGAAGCCCCGGCUAACUACGUGCCGGCAGCCGCGGCAAUACGUAGGGGGCAAGCGUUAUCCGGAUUUACUGGGUGUAAAGGGAGCGCAGGCGGCGCGCCAAGUCUGAUGUGAACCCCCGGGGCUCAACCCCGGGCAUGCAUUGGAAACUGGCGGGCUGGAGUGCCGGAGAGGUAAGCGGAAUUCCUAGUGUAGCGGUGAAAUGCGUAGAUAUUAGGAGGAACACCAGUGGCGAAGGCGGCUUACUGGACGGCAACUGACGCUGAGGCUCGAAAGCGUGGGGAGCAAACAGGAUUAGAUACCCUGGUAC